UCAGAACGAACGCUGGCGGCGCGUUUAAGCAUGCAAGUCGAGCGGCAAGGGCCUUCGGGCCCCUAGAGCGGCGGACGGGUGAGUAACACGUGGACAAUCUGCCCCCCGGCCCGGGAUAGCCCAGGGAAACCUGGAUUAAUACCGGAUGAGACGGGACCCGCGAUGGCGGGAUCCGGGAAAGGCGCUGCGGCGCCGCCGGGGGAUGAGUCUGCGUCCCAUUAGCUAGACGGCGGGGUAACGGCCCACCGUGGCGACGAUGGGUAGCCGGCCUGAGAGGGUGGACGGCCACAUUGGAACUGAGACACGGUCCAGACUCCUACGGGAGGCAGCAGCUAAGAAUCUUCCGCAAUGGGCGAAAGCCUGACGGAGCGACGCCGCGUGAACGAAGAAGGCCGUGAGGUUGUAAAGUUCUUUUCGGGAGGGGGAACAACCGUGGCAGGGAAUGGCCGCGGGAUGACGUGAAUCCCGGAAUAAGCCCCGGCUAACUACGUGCCAGCAGCAGC
This 503-nucleotide ribosomal RNA is filed under the name uncultured bacterium. Its description in RNAcentral is "bacterial SSU rRNA". It matches the Rfam family "Bacterial small subunit ribosomal RNA", at positions 24 to 518 of the family's 1533-position model. The record is from RNAcentral.